RNAcentral lists this ribosomal RNA (456 nucleotides) under Sceloporus ochoterenae. RNAcentral describes it as "partial 16S ribosomal RNA". It matches the Rfam family "Bacterial large subunit ribosomal RNA", at positions 1923 to 2574 of the family's 2925-position model. The record is from RNAcentral. Lineage: Eukaryota; Metazoa; Chordata; Lepidosauria; Squamata; Phrynosomatidae.
UUUAACGGCCGCGGUACUCUAACCGUGCAAAGGUAGCGUAAUCACUUGUCCUUUAAAUAAGGACCAGUAUGAACGGCUAAAUGAGGGUAAAUCUGUCUCCUUUAACCAAUCAGUGAAACUGAUCUACCAGUACAAAAGCUGGUAUAAACCCAUAAGACGAGAAGACCCUGUGGAGCUUUAAAUUUUAACCAAUAGCAACGCCCAACCAACUACCAAUGGUUAAAAAUCUUAAGUUGGGGCGACUUCGGAAACAAAUAUAACUUCCGAGCAUAAGAAUAUUAAUCUUACCAAGACCCACAAGUCAAGGCAAAACUUGACCCAGUAACACUGACUAUCGAACCAAGUUACCCCAGGGAUAACAGCGCAAUCUUCUUCAAGAGUUCCUAUCGACAAGAAGGUUUACGACCUCGAUGUUGGAUCAGGACACCCAAAUGGUGCAGCCGCUAUUUAAGGUUC